CCCCUCCUCAGUAAACUGGCCUAAAGAGGCCAAUGUGUGUUCUUGCUGUUUGGUUUUGUAGAACCGAGAUGGAAUCCAGGGCCUUGGCAUGAUGGGGAGCCCCAGAGAGGAUCCCUGGAUGCUGAGCUUCCCGAAACUCCUCGCAGAGAUUUUCUAAGAGUCCAGCCACAAAUGUGGGUGUGAACUUACCUGAGACGGUGACCACGAGCCUCUGGAAUGACAUAUGCCACUAUGCUACCUCCCAGUGGGCAUCUCCUGGGCCUCCUGCUGACAUGCGCAUUCCAGAUCUGCCAAGCUGACAACCAACACCAACCAUCACAUACUCCAUUUUAGAUUUGCAACCACCACAGUGGAUGGAGACUGAGUUUGCCAGAUGAGCUGACGCUCAGAGAAGGUAAGAUGCUAGCCCCAGGCCACACAGCAGGGGAGUGGUAGGCCUCUCUAAACCCUUGACAGCUUAUCUCAGAGUUGGAGCCAACUGGCCAUCUGAGUGUCCUCACAGCAGGAUGCCAUUCACAGGCCCUGAGGCAGUAAUGAUCUGCAGGUUCAGGGUGGGACCUCCUGAGGGAGGAGUAGCUGAUCCUCUGGCCAGUGCAGAAGCUUUCCUGGCAGCACUGGACCCAUCCUUGCAUGAGAUGGACGAUGCCUUUGGAGGGUGCUCAUUCCCAGCACCUCAAGGGGAAACUGCAGCCCUCAGCUGUGUCCUUUCCUGCCCUGGGCUCUGGAGGUGACCCUGUGACCCUGAACCACAAAGCACCCAGCUGGGAGCCUGCCAACUGGGAGGCUUCGGCAUGGAGCCUCUGGCACCACCGUGGCACCCGUGUCAGCAGGCUGACCUCUAGAGCAGGGCAGCCUAGCCUGAGAGCACCAAGGGGAGAGCUGCAGCCACACAGCAGCCACUGCUCACUCACUCACCUGCAGCCCUGGCUCAGCACGCAGAACCCAGGCAUCCUGUCUGUCACUAACGACUCAGUCCCGAGGCCCAUGGCCAAUGCAGGGUGCUCUCAGCACCAGCGAACAGUAGCCCGGAACACCGCCUGGACCUUAAUUACUUCUGACACUCAGCAGACAACAGCUUCCUGUCCUUCCUACCAGAGGUUGCUACCUUCUGCCUUAAUUAGGACCGCAGAGCCAGGGAGUCGGCCUGAGCACCGGGGGGACCAACGGACAGUGCGGCCUUAACAUGCGCCCACUUCCCUGUGCCUGCCCCUCCGGAGAGCUAGGCCUCACCCUCGGAUGGUAAACUCAGGAGGAUCCCUAGUGGGCAGCGGAGAAUCAGCCUGCACAGGGACAAUGCAGAGCUUGAACUUAACCACUCCCGGGGGAAAAGGAAGGGAGAAGAAGAGGAAGAGGAAGGGAGGACUGAGCAAAGUACUGAGGACUGACUGCAACACGGUCCCCAGACCAGAGUGCUCCCCAGGAACAGGGCUUCAGGCACUCUGUCCCCAGACCAGAGUGCUCCCAGGAACAGGCUUCAGGCACUCUGUCCCCAGACCAGAGUGCUCCCCAGGAACAGGGCUUCAGGCACUCUGUUCCCAGACCAGAGUGCUCCCCAGGAACAGGGCUUCAGGCACUCUGUUGGGAAUAUUAUUCUAAGGUGUGUUACUUUUGUUUGUGUUGCAUUUGUCUAACUCUGUGAAGCUGUGUGACUGUGCCUG
Peromyscus leucopus (white-footed mouse) is the source of this 1658-nucleotide long non-coding RNA. RefSeq lists it as uncharacterized. The transcript has 3 exons. NCBI's taxonomy places the organism in Eukaryota, Metazoa, Chordata, Mammalia, Rodentia, Cricetidae. The record is from RefSeq and is a predicted model, not a curated record.